AUAAUGAAAAGGAGCAAGCUGAGCAGGGUAAAUUACAAAAUGAAAAUUUUGAGGAGAAAAAGAGCACCAGGAAGUGGAAGAGAGCUAAAUUCUGUGUUCCCGGGAGAUAAACAGAUUAAGAAAUGAGAAUAAAGGAAUAAAGGAUUGGUGAUCCCAGGGCAAGAUUCCACCCAGGUAAAUUUCCAGUUUUUUGAAAAGGAACUGAAGAAAAGCUUAGAGCCAGGUUUGGUGGUACAUACCCUUAAUCCCAGCACUCACAAGGCAGAGGCUGGCAGAUCUAUGAGUAUGAGGUCAGUCUGAUAUGCAUUAUGAUACAGCUGUAAAACUUUGGGGGACAGGGAAGGGACUGUGGUGGUUUAAAAGAAAAUGGCCCCCAAAGGGAGUGGCACUAUUAGGAGGUGUGGCCUGGCCUUGUUGGAGGAAGUGUGUCACUGGCGGGUUGGGCUUUGAGGUCUCUUGCUCAAGCUUCCCUCAGUGUGACUGCCAGUUGACUUCCUGUUGCCUGUAAGAUGUAGUAGCACUCUUAGCUACAGUGCCACAUCUGCCUAUAUGUAAGGGAGCCACCCCAAUGAAAUGUUUAUGAGUUUCUAUGGUCAUGGUGUCUCUUUAUAACAAUAGUAACCCUAACUAAGGCAGAGUCUAUGAAGAACAUAGAUCACUUAUGUAGGGCAUGCAGUCUAUGCUUCACACAGUCAUGUUUAAUAACUGGAAAAAAAUUAGAUGCUGUGGAAAUGGAUUAGUAUGUUAAUUGCAAUUGUGCUAAAAAUAGUUAUUUGAUUUCUUCAAGAUUGAAAAUUUCCUCAUAUGUUCAGUAUUGCCUAUCAAUAGAGUUGACAUACCUGGAUGAGUAUAUGUCUAAAUUAAAAGAAUCUUUUCAUUUUGUUUUGUAAUCAUCAACAGAACACAGGAUCAUGAGCAUAAGGUAAACACGUUUAUGGGUUGUUAUUAGAGCUUGGGACCAGGCAUGUGACUUUGGUGCACCUGCUUUCUUAUGAAGGUCACAGUGGGAUUAAAUGGGUCCACUCAAGCUUAAAGCAGUGACUUAAAGUGCCAGUGUGUUGACAGGUUCAACUUUAGUCUGUAGAAUCUGUAAGAAAAAAGUCCCCUGCCUCCUCAUUCCUGAAUAUUACUGAGUUGGCCCUGGGAUAUGGCCUUCUUGGUUUACAGCCUCCUGAAGAUAGAAUGAAUUUCCAUCCUAGUUCCUCUCACCCGGAAGUGGCCUAUUGGAAGAAGACUCUGGCCUUGGGAACCACAGAACCUUUGACCUCCAACUACCUGGAAUCUAAGCUACCACUGGAGAGACUCCGAAAGAAUGAGCCUGUUGACAAAGCCGGAACACCACUGGCACGGGCCAGCAAUCCAGAGGUGUGUGCUGUGUGCAGA
This 1383-nucleotide long non-coding RNA is filed under the name Cricetulus griseus (Chinese hamster). Its description in RNAcentral is "lncRNA (ENSCGRG00015040024.1)". Lineage: Eukaryota; Metazoa; Chordata; Mammalia; Rodentia; Cricetidae. The record is from RNAcentral.